CCGCUAUUGGAGUUCGAUUAAGCCAUGCGAGUCGAGAGUCUUAGGGACUCGGCGUACCGCUCAGUAACACGUGGGUAACCUGCCCUAUGCUGGGGAAUAACCUCGGGAAACUGAGAAUAAUGCCCCAUAGUCCACAAUGCCUGGAACGGUUUGUGGAUCAAAGCUCCGGCGGCAUAGGAUGGGCCUGCGGCGUAUCAGGUUGUAGGGGGUGUAACGUACCCUCUAGCCAUCAACGCGUACGGGUGUUGGGAGACAUAGCCCGGAGAUGGAUUCUGAGACACGAAUCCAGACCCUACGGGGUGCAGCAGGCGCGAAAACUUGGCAAUGCGAGAAAUCGUGACCAGGGAACUCCAAGUGGCUGGGGUAAGACCCAGUCUUUUCUUGACUCUUCAAAGGUCUUGGAAUAAGGGGUGGGUAAGGACGGUGCCAGCCGCCGCGGUAAUACCGGCGCCUCAAGUGGUAGUCGAUUUUAUUGGGCCUAAAACGUCCGUAGCCUGUUUGGUACAUUCGUGGGUAAAUCAACCAGCUCAACUGGUUGAAUUCUGCGAGCACGGCCAGACUUGGGACCGGGAGAGGUGUGGGGUACGCUCAGGGUAGGGGUAAAAUCCUGUCAUCCUGAGCGGACCACCUGUUGCGAAGGCGCCACACUAGAACGGAUCCGACGGUCAGGGACGAAGCCUAGGGGCACGAACCGGAUUAGAUACCCGGGUAGUCCUAGGUGUAAACGCUGUGGACUUGGUGUUGGGGACUCUCCGAGAAUCCUCAGUGCCGAAGCGAAGGUGAUAAGUCCACUGCCUGGGGAGUACGGUCGCAAGGCUGAAACUUAAAGGAAUUGGCGGGGGAGCACCGCAACCUGAGGAUUGUGCGG
This 868-nucleotide ribosomal RNA is filed under the name uncultured archaeon. RNAcentral describes it as "bacterial SSU rRNA". It matches the Rfam family "Archaeal small subunit ribosomal RNA", at positions 27 to 900 of the family's 1478-position model. The record is from RNAcentral.